GUCCCUGUCAAUGCUGGGCCCCUUUUUCUUAUCUCUUUCCCAGGAUACUCACCCAGGCCAGGAGACUGGACCAGGCCUUUUGGCCCUGCAGACUCCAUUUUGUUAAACAUAGCCCUUCCCCUUGCAUAGGCCAUUUGACCUCCCUCAGCCCAGGCCCUGUUCCCGGAUGCUGACAACUGCAGUGGGCCUGGGCCUUGAACUUCCCUCCUUUGUGCCACCAGCUCCCUCCCUUGCCUUCCUCCCCUCACCAGCCCUGUCUGUUUUCAUGCACCUCUUCCCCCAGAACUUGCCCUUGGCUCUCUGUUCCUGGGCCUGGCUCCUUGCUUGAGCCCCUGGCCAUCCUUCUUGAGGACCUUGCUCAUGUACCUUGAUUUCAGGCCCCUUAUUCGGGGGCCUGUUAUGACUUCCCUCUGUUUUCCUUGUGCUGUGUCAUCCUGGGAAUGCCUGGACUCUUCCUUUCACUGCUUCUGCCUAGACUGGGUUACUUGAUUGGGUCUUGCUCCCUACCAACUCCCCCACCAUAUCAGGACGAAAGGCAUUUCCUCGCAGUCCCCUCCUUUGGCCCUCCUUUGCUUCUGGUCCCUCUCUGAGGAUCUACUCACCCAGGGCAGACUACUGGCCUCUCUGUCCUGAUAUCUCCCUAUAGAAACACAGCCUUGUCCCUCCCCUGAUCCCCCUUGCUGCGGAAACCUGACACCUGGCAGUGGAAGUGUGCUUUGCACCAGACAUGCCCUGCACCAUUCCCUCCCUUCCCUCACCUGCCCUCUGGCCUUCAAUGCUGCUACAACCCUAACCCAGCCUCACUGACCCUGAACCUUCAACUGAGCCCCUG
RNAcentral lists this long non-coding RNA (832 nucleotides) under Marmota monax (woodchuck). The record is from RNAcentral. Lineage: Eukaryota; Metazoa; Chordata; Mammalia; Rodentia; Sciuridae.